GGUGGCAUGGCCGAGUGGUUAGGCAGCGGUCUGCAAAAUCGCGUACUCCAGUUCGAAUCUGGAUGCCACCU
RNAcentral lists this transfer RNA (71 nucleotides) under Candidatus Margulisiibacteriota bacterium. Its description in RNAcentral is "tRNA-Cys". It matches the Rfam family "tRNA". From Rfam's summary of the family: Transfer RNA (tRNA) molecules are approximately 80 nucleotides in length. Their secondary structure includes four short double-helical elements and three loops (D, anti-codon, and T loops). Lineage: Bacteria; Bacillati; Candidatus Margulisiibacteriota. The record is from RNAcentral.